GACGAACGCUGGCGGCGUGCUUAACACAUGCAAGUCGAACGGAAAGGCCCUGCUUUUGUGGGGUGCUCGAGUGGCGAACGGGUGAGUAACACGUGAGUAACCUGCCCUUGACUUUGGGAUAACUUCAGGAAACUGGGGCUAAUACCGGAUAGGAGCUCCUGCUGCAUGGUGGGGGUUGGAAAGUUUCGGCGGUUGGGGAUGGACUCGCGGCUUAUCAGCUUGUUGGUGGGGUAGUGGCCUACCAAGGCUUUGACGGGUAGCCGGCCUGAGAGGGUGACCGGCCACAUUGGGACUGAGAUACGGCCCAGACUCCUACGGGAGGCAGCAGUGGGGAAUAUUGCACAAUGGGCGGAAGCCUGAUGCAGCAACGCCGCGUGCGGGAUGACGGCCUUCGGGUUGUAAACCGCUUUCGCCUGUGACGAAGCGUGAGUGGCGGUAAUGGGUAAAGAAGCACCGGCUAACUACGUG
RNAcentral lists this ribosomal RNA (468 nucleotides) under uncultured bacterium. RNAcentral's name for it is "partial 16S ribosomal RNA". It matches the Rfam family "Bacterial small subunit ribosomal RNA", at positions 28 to 507 of the family's 1533-position model. The record is from RNAcentral.